RNAcentral lists this ribosomal RNA (441 nucleotides) under uncultured bacterium. RNAcentral's name for it is "bacterial SSU rRNA". It matches the Rfam family "Bacterial small subunit ribosomal RNA", at positions 28 to 507 of the family's 1533-position model. The record is from RNAcentral.
GAUGAACGCUGGCGGUAUGCCUAACACAUGCAAGUCGUACGAGAGUUUUUAACUCUAGUGGCGGACGGGUGAGUAACACGUGAGUAUUUGCCUUUAGGAGGGGGAUAACAAUUGGAAACGAAUGCUAAUACCCCAUAUGCUUUUGAGUGAAAUGGGAUUUUAUCCGCCUAGAGAGAAGCUCGCGGCUGAUUAGCUUGUUGGUAAGGUAAGAGCUUACCAAGGCGACGAUCAGUAUCUGGUUUGAGAGGACGAUCAGACACACUGGAACUGAGACACGGUCCAGACUCCUACGGGAGGCAGCAGUGGGAAUUUUCCGCAAUGGGCGAAAGCCUGACGGAGCAAUACCGCGUGAGGGAAGAAUGCCUAUGGGUUGUAAACCUCUUUUUUCAGGGAGGAAUAAAAUGACGUGUACCUGAAGAAUAAGCAUCGGCUAACUCCGUG